Molecule: ribosomal RNA, 483 nt
Filed under: Triticum aestivum (bread wheat)
Lineage: Eukaryota; Viridiplantae; Streptophyta; Magnoliopsida; Poales; Poaceae
Description: partial small subunit ribosomal RNA
Source: RNAcentral
AUGGCCCGCGUCAGACUCGACCUCGAGAUAUUCUGCACCUCCCACCUUGUCAGCGUCGUCGACGGCCUGCUCGUCAUGUGCGACAAGGCAAGCAACACCGUCCGCCUUCUUCACCCGUUCACCGGCAUGCUCGCUGAGUUCCCCGACAUCACCAAUGUACGGUCCUACGGUGGCGCAGAACCGAAUGCCCGGCUCGGCAUGGAUGCCUUCAAGGCCCACUUCCCUGGCCUUGGCGCUGAUCCAAAUGCCUACCUCACCACGGAUGACUACAAAUCUGGCUACCCUGCCACUAAGACGGUCAUGGACUUUGCCAGCAUCGAUGACUCCACUUCCCCGCCGACCCUCCACCUCUGCGUGCAAAAUGGGUCAUGGCUAGUCAUCGGUGCCAAGCCUGGUGAUGAGCACUGGGUCUCCCUGGAUCCUUGCCAUGUGAGGGGCAACACACGGACCAUGUUGCAUUGUGCUCUACUGGUGAAGUGGUGA